GGGACACGUGGUAUCCUGUCUGAAUAUGGGGGGACCAUCCUCCAAGGCUAAAUACUCCUGACUGACCGAUAGUGAACCAGUACCGUGAGGGAAAGGCGAAAAGAACCCCGGCGAGGGGAGUGAAAAAGAACCUGAAACCGUGUACGUACAAGCAGUGGGAGCACCUUCGGGUGUGACUGCGUACCUUUUGUAUAAUGGGUCAGCGACUUAUAUUCUGUAGCAAGGUUAACCGUAUAGGGGAGCCGCAGGGAAACCGAGUCUUAACUGGGCGUUAAGUUGCAGGGUAUAGACCCGAAACCCGGUGAUCUAGCCAUGGGCAGGUUGAAGGUUGGGUAACACUAACUGGAGGACCGAACCGACUAAUGUUGAAAAAUUAGCGGAUGACUUGUGGCUGGGGGUGAAAGGCCAAUCAAACCGGGAGAUAGCUGGUUCUCCCCGAAAGCUAUUUAGGUAGCGCCUCGUGAACUCAUCUUCGGGGGUAGAGCACUGUUUCGGCUAGGGGGUCAUCCCGACUUACCAACCCGAUGCAAACUACGAAUACCGAAGAAUGUUAUCACGGGAGACACACGGCGGGUGCUAACGUCCGUCGUGAAGAGGGAAACAACCCAGACCGCCAGCUAAGGUCCCAAAGUCAUGGUUAAGUGGGAAACGAUGUGGGAAGGCACAGACAGCCAGGAUGUUGGCUUAGAAGCAGCCAUCAUUUAAAGAAAGCGUAAUAGCUCACUGGUCGAGUCGGCCUGCGCGGAAGAUGUAACGGGGCUAAACCAUGCACCGAAGCUGCGGCAGCGACACUAUGUGUUGUUGGGUAGGGGAGCGUUCUGUAAGCCUGCGAAGGUGUGCUGUGAGGCAUGCUGGAGGUAUCAGAAGUGCGAAUGCUGACAUAAGUAACGAUAAAGCGGGUGAAAAGCCCGCUCGCCGGAAGACCAAGGGUUCCUGUCCAACGUUAAUCGGGGCAGGGUGAGUCGACCCCUAAGGCGAGGCCGAAAGGCGUAGUCGAUGGGAAACAGGUUAAUAUUCCUGUACUUGGUGUUACUGCGAAGGGGGGACGGAGAAGGCUAUGUUAGCCGGGCGACGGUUGUCCCGGUUUAAGCAUGUAGGCUGGUUGUCCAGGCAAAUCCGGAUAAUCAAGGCUGAGGUGUGAUGACGAGGCACUACGGUGCUGAAGUAACAAAUGCCCUGCUUCCAGGAAAAGCCUCUAAGCAUCAGGUAACAUCAAAUCGUACCCCAAACCGACACAGGUGGUCAGGUAGAGAAUACCAAGGCGCUUGAGAGAACUCGGGUGAAGGAACUAGGCAAAAUGGUGCCGUAACUUCGGGAGAAGGCACGCUGGUGUGUAGGUGAAGUCCCUGCGG
This 1352-nucleotide ribosomal RNA is filed under the name Klebsiella pneumoniae. RNAcentral describes it as "partial 23S ribosomal RNA". It matches the Rfam family "Bacterial large subunit ribosomal RNA", at positions 419 to 1779 of the family's 2925-position model. Lineage: Bacteria; Pseudomonadati; Pseudomonadota; Gammaproteobacteria; Enterobacterales; Enterobacteriaceae. The record is from RNAcentral.